Molecule: ribosomal RNA, 495 nt
Filed under: uncultured bacterium
Lineage: Bacteria
Description: partial 16S ribosomal RNA
Rfam family: Bacterial small subunit ribosomal RNA
Source: RNAcentral
AUGAACGCUGGCGGCGUGCCUAAUACAUGCAAGUCGAGCGAACGGACGAGAAGCUUGCUUCUCUGAUGUUAGCGGCGGACGGGUGAGUAACACGUGGAUAACCUACCUAUAAGACUGGGAUAACUUCGGGAAACCGGAGCUAAUACCGGAUAAUAUUUUGAACCGCAUGGUUAAAAGGGAAAAACGGUCUUUCUUUCCCUUAAUGAUGGAUCCGCGCUGCAUUAGCUAGUUGGUAAGGUAACGGCUUACCAAGGCAACGAUGCAUAGCCGACCUGAGAGGGUGAUCGGCCACACUGGAACUGAGACACGGUCCAGACUCCUACGGGAGGCAGCAGUAGGGAAUCUUCCGCAAUGGGCGAAAGCCUGACGGAGCAACGCCGCGUGAGUGAUGAAGGUCUUCGGAUCGUAAAACUCUGUUAUUAGGGAAGAACAUAUGUGUAAGUAACUGUACACAUCUUGACGGUACCUAAUCAGAAAGCCACGGCUAACUACGUG